GAGUCACAGGCAGAUGCCAGCAGGACCCGGCCUGCCUCUUCCUCAGGGGAGGCCUGGACGAGGCUUCUGGGUCAGGACGUGACCCUGGAUGGGGCACCAGGCAGCUGCAGUAAGAGAAGAAGAAAGACGUGCUCUCCUCUCUCAUGCCCAUGGCUUGAUGACAUUUUCUUCUAAACACUGAAGAUCCUCAGGUAGCUGGGAUUCUGUGGCUGCUCCGAAACCCCGGCACACGGGUCCAUUUUCCCAGGCCAGUGAGUCCUGGC
Molecule: long non-coding RNA, 263 nt
Filed under: Homo sapiens (human)
Lineage: Eukaryota; Metazoa; Chordata; Mammalia; Primates; Hominidae
Description: HSALNT0025982
Source: RNAcentral